CAUAAUCAAAGAAGAGCUAUUACAAUUUCCACGCACCAAAAAAGUUACCAAAUGAGAAUAAAAAUCUGACUGUAGAUCCAUCAGAUUUUGCAGAUCCACUAUCCCCUUCAAACCCCAUCGAUCUCCGAAAAAAACCCAUACAAAAACACCAGUUGUCGAUUCAAUCAUUCGAUCUAAAGUUUGUCGCCUCUUCUCUCUCCUCUUUUCGAUCAGGUUUGUUUGCAAAAGUAUAUUUGUUUGCAAAAGUUUGUUUUAAACUAUUUAAUUCUUUGAUGAGCGACUAUUAGUCUCUUAAUGUGGGACCGUUAAUUCCAUAUAGGAAUUUGAUAACUUAAAAUGUAGGGGAAUAUUAAUUUUACAUUUAUCAUGAGAUUAUAUAACCCCUCGUAAUCCUCCCUCAUGGGAUAAAAUAGUUCAAAGUAAAUAGCCUUACUAAAGGUAAAAAAUAGUCUAUGAGACUAUUUAAAGUAUUAUUAAUCUUUCCCUCAUGAGAUAAUAGUGUUAAAUUAAAACAAAUACUCAAAUAUCAAGCAUAUUUUUUACAAACAACCAUAACUUUUGUAUUUCUUCUAGUCGUAUGAUGGCUUGCUAUUGAUUGGGCGUUGUAGUGAUACCGAUGGGUUUUUUUGUUUCUUCAUAUAUAUCUUUCUUGUUUUUCAAAAUUUUGGAUUGGCGGAACGGAGGUGAUUCUUUAAUAGAUAUAAGGGUGAAGUUUAAGGUUUGAGUUAAGGUUGUAGGAUUUGGGUCAAAGUUGAUGAAUAUGGGUUUGUUAUCCUUAACUAGUAAGAGAUUUGCUUCAUCAAUGCAAAUAGAUUUUCAAAUCGUUGGAAGUAUGAAGGAGAACAAAUAUUUUGAUUUUAUAUAAGAAAUUGAUGAUAAAUGCAAGAAAACAUUGAGUGAGAAAGAUAAUAUUUAAGUUAUAAUUGAAGAAGAAGAAGGUUAAAAUUUUAUCGGGCAUAAAAAAGGGAAUUUGUAAUAUUGAAGAUGUUAUUUUUAUUCAAAAAAUAUAUAAUUUUUGGUCAUAUGUACUUUUGAAUGGUUUAAGAUUAUAUUUUCCUUUUAUCGAUUAAGAGGCAAUAAGAGGUAAAAUAAAAAUUUACCAAAUUACCAUAGUCUCUAACCAAAUCAGAUGUACAUCUAUUAAUAGGUAUUUAAAGGUAAUCAAACACCACCUUAGUCUUAUAAUUUGGAAUGGAAGGAGUAUAAUGAUCUUUAUUAAUUAUAUAGUUAAGACAGUUGCAUCAUGCAAAUUUUAAUUCAAGCAUAUAGAAAGAGAUAGAAGCAAUCUUUCAAAAAAUACAUUGAAUUGAAAGACUAAAAACAAUUGAUUUGAGUAAACGAGUGAGAGAUAGAGUAUGCGAUAGUGGAAGUCGAGAAGAACAGAACUAGAAGUAAUAUUUUGUUUAUUUGUUUACUUAUUUUUAACUUCCUAAAAGAGUUAGAUUCGACUCAUAACGUUGGAGUAAUAUUAUACUCCCUCCAUUCCUAUAUGUAGGUCGUUUUAGACUUUUUUUGUUAUUCUUAAUUAUUUGUCGUUUGUGGUUAUCUAGGAGAAUUGAUCACUAUUUUUUCCAAAUUGCCGCUUAUUACUCCACCUAAUUUUGUGAUCCAUAUUUAUCAUUAUCAUAUACUACUCCUCUACUCUUAAGUCUUUCUCUCCUUCUCCCAAUAAAACUCUUUCAUUAUGAGAUAAGUGAGGUGAAUGGUAUUAUAGACAAUUGAUAGUAUAGUUAAUGCUUUUCAAUCAUGUUCUUAAUUCUUGUGCACAUGUGUAAAACGACCUAUAUUAAGGAACGGAGUGAGUAGUGGAUAGAGUUGGUGAAAUGAUUUAGUUUUGAAUUGCUAUUAAGAAACGUGUUGGGCUGAGCUGGGCCACCCAUGAGUUAGGCUGCUUUGGGAAGUAUAAGCCCAAAUCUACUUUUAUAGAAAGUUUGGUCUGACCCGUGAGCUUAGUCCGCUUUAGACAGGUUUAACUAGGUUAAACUUAUUUAUGUGGUAAUCGUAUAUAUAGACCUAAACUGUUGUCUCGUGCAACUACAAACCCUAGAUUUCACAAUUUUUCAAAACUUCCUUGAAUCCUCUCUCAACCUACAGGUAUGUUUAUGGUCUGAAUACCUUUAUUUUUGUUAAAUGUCAUUUAAAAGUUUAUUCAUUUCUCUUCCUUGAUUUCUUACUGAAAUUCUAUUGAAUUUUUCUAUUUAAACCAUAAACCCUAAUAAAAUAGUUUUACAAUUUGUUAGAAUAAAUGUGAUUACUUAUAAUUUCAAUGAGUUUUGUUUAUGAAAAUCCGAUCAUUUUUUAGAAAGUUGAAAAUUGUUAUUUUUUUAUGCGAAUAUAAUCUUAGUUACUAAUUUUAAUUGGAUCGGAGAUCUUUUGAUUGCGAUUAAUAUAUAUUAUUUCUAUAUAAAGGAAAUGAGUGUACUAGUUAUACUUGCCAAUGAAAUUACUUUUAUCGCUCUGAAUUCGUGUUGUAUUUAGUAUAUUAUAGGUUGUAUAUUGAAAUUCAAGCAAUGUUUUGAAAAUUGGAUCGGAAUAGUUCAAUUGAACUGAGCACCGAUUCUACGUUCGGUCUUAUUUAUUCAUGUUAAAUCAAUUUGAUCAAAAUUCGAGUGAACUGGUUAACCAUCGAUUGAACUGGUGGUUCAAUGGGUAAAAUAGAUUAAUUUGACCAAUGAACUGAUUUUUAAUACCAAAAGUUUUUAAUUAUAAAAAUAAACAUUUUUAGUAAUAUUAUAAUACAACUUCUUUAUGAUCUUUCCUCGUUUAGAAACAUUGAAUUGAAAGUGUAACAUGUGUUGCACAAAAUAUUACAUUUAAUGAUGAAUGCUAAAAGAAUUAAUUUCAACAGCAAAAAGCAUCCAAAAAGAAGUGAAUUUUACGACAUAAUUGUAUGUAGUUUUUUUUUGUUAAGUUUGGUUUGCAUAGAUGAGACCAAAAUAUACAUUGGCAAAUGGGCAUAUCCCAGACUAUAGGUAGGUCAUCUCAAGACAUGCCAGGAGAGGAACUAACUAUAGUUGUGUAAAGAAACACAAUUUACAAUAUCCAGUUGCAAUAAUAAUUACAAAAAUUAGUAGUCGUAAUGAAGGAAUUUGACGAAGAAAGCCUAGAUUUAACAAUGUUAACCACUUUCUUUGCAAAAUUCGGAGCAGGUGUAAGAAUACCUUGAUGAAUUUUCCUAUCCUGAGCUUCCCAUGUUUUGUAGAAUGUUGUAGGCAUAGAUAGGUACAAUAUCGUUUUGGUAAGAUUACUUGGAAAUUCGUUACAAAAUCCAUGCCAAUCUGAAGGGAUGUUAAGCCAAUUUUCAAUACCAAAAACAGUUUGCAAAAUAACAAGAGAGUAUUAACAAUCAAAGAAUAGAUGCUCAAAACUUUCAUAGCAUUUUUGGCAUAGAGGACACAUGAUCUCUUUGCCUGAGCCAUAAUGCUUUGUGAUGUCAUUGGUAGGCAAUCUUCUCAAAAACCCAACUAUAGUGGGAAUGAAUACCUCGAAACAUGCAGGUUAUGCCAAAGGACUUGUAUGUAGUUUUUUUGUUUGUCUAAACUUAGCAAAAUCAACUUUGGUUGUAUCCAGAAUGCUGAAAAUGUUAAAACUUUUGAUCUAUUUUUCAAAAAUUGAUAUUCAAAAAUCCAUAUAUUCCACAAAAGAGUUAUAUUUAUUUUUAUAAUACUUAAUUCCUGAAAUUUUAAAUAGUCAAAUCAUAAUAUGCAUAUAUUUUAAAUAUAAAAUAGUACUUUAUACUUAAUAAUAUUUUAAAAUUUGUAAAUUGAGUAGAAAAAACACUUUUUUUUUGUUUGUGGAAAGGAGUAUGUCAUAAUAUUUUUGUAUUAGUUUUCGGUUAUUUUUUUAGGUUGUGGCUGCAAUUUUUUUGUCGAUUUGUCGUGAUCUUAUUUUUAUUGGAUUCAAAUAUAAUGUCACCAUAAUUAAGAAAUAAUUUAAUACCACCGUUAAAAAGGAAGAUGAAAAUUAAAUCAAAAUCUUAGCACAUAUGCUUCAUACAAUUGACGCAAAAUCCUUUAACUGCACAACAAACCGGUGCCUGAAAUUCUCAAAACCCUAAUUUCAAUCCCAAAAACAUUAAUCUGCAUAAUAUAGUAUAUUGUCACAAUUACACUAGAAAAGUUGAAGAAGAAAGCAAAAAGGAUCAAAAGAAAAUUUCAUAGAUUUUUCGAUAAAAACUUUUACAUCACUCCGGCUGAUAUUUUAUUCAGCUACUCUAACAACUCACAUACUUUUUCUAACAACCUUUACCAAAUUGAAAGCCACGUGUCUAUUGCUAAUUCUGAAAUAACACAACUUUUAAUUGAAACGCUGCGUUUUUGGGAAGUUUGAUAUAUGCUGUGUUUGGCCACUGAUUCGUUAACGGUUAUAUCUUCUCCUCCCCUUCCUUCCAUUUUUGACAAUUACCCAUUGCUUGAAGAGAUCCUUGACCCCAAGGAUCAAAGUCUGGAUAUUGCUGCUCCACUCCUCUCAUGUCGCAUCUUCAGGAAUUCUAUGAGACCAUUGGACUAAAACCAUGAUUUGCAGGUCGCUGGCCUUUCUUUAUCAAUCGCCUAUCCAAAAUGGCUACAGGUAAUGGUCUUAAUUCUUUUGCAUUGUCUGUUUGCGGAAGCUCGGUUUGAACCACCUUAGUCUCCCUAAUUUUCUUUUUUAACUAUGAGACAUGAAAAACAUUGUGUAUUUUGGCAUUGGAGGGAAGUUGUAAUUUGUAAGCCACCUUCCCGAUCCUUUGGAUCACAAUAAUACUUUGCCGAUAGCUUGAAAUUUCUUCUCUGUUAAAUUGACAUUUGCCGAUAGGGUUUUAAUUUCAAAUACUCCUCAUCUCUUUCGUUAAACUCUCUUUCAGUUAUUUUCUUGUCUGUAUAUAGCUUUAUUCUGUCUUGAGGUUUAUGCGAAUUGUCCUUUAAUAGUUGUUGGGUUGCCUUCCUUUCUUUCAAAAAAUCAGCCAUCAUGCCUGGUGAUAAUUGACAACAGGUGGGUUAAUGCCAUAAAGGGCCUUAUAGGGGGUCAUCCCAGUGGCUGUGUGGAAUGAAGUGUUGUACCACCAUUCUGCCAUAGGUAACCACUUACUCCAUUGUGCAGGCUUAGUACUGGUCAUACAUCUCAAUACAUUGAUUAACCCUCUCAGUUUGGCUAUCUGUUUGGGGGUGGUAGGGUGGACUUGGCUUAAUUUGGGUUCCCAAGGUCCUGAACAGUUGUUUCCAAAAGCUGCUCACAAAUAUCUUAUCCAUAUCCGAAUAAUAGUUUUAGGGGGACCAUUUGUGCUACUUGGGUUGUUGUAAAUGGACGUGUGAGCGCCAUAAGAUGACAUCCUUUCGCGAGCUUGUCAACCACCACCACCACCACCAAAAUUGUAUCUUUGCCAUUCCUUCCACAAAAUCUAUAGUUAUUACUUCCCAUGCUUGGUUAGGAAUGGGUAUAGGCUGCAGGAGUCCAAGACUUGGAACAUGUUCUCCUUUACUUCUCUGGCACACCUCAUAAUUUGCAAUCAAUUCUGUCAAAUCCUUCUUUAAUGUAAUCCAAUAAAAUAAUAGCUCAGCUCUCUUGACUGAAGCUGUGACACCUGAAUGCCUUCCUUUAGAACUGCUAUGAACCUGUUCCAUGACCUUUUUCCUCAGUUCUCCCGCUGCCCAAAUAAAUCUUGCCAUCCUUUCUGAGGAUUCCUUCCUGAACCUUGUAGUUAGGACAACUAGUGGAGUCUAUCGGUAUACGAGCCAUUGGCUCUUGUGCUUCUUUAUCACCCACUAGACUUUCAGCAACUUCAGUACUCCAACUAGGAAUAACUGAUUGUAUCACUACACAACUGCCUUCCCAUUCAUGUUGUCUAGAUAAUGCAUCUACUACUAGAUUAUCCUUGCCUUUCUUAUAUUGUAUGACAUAGUCAAAGCCCAACAUUUUUAAAAUCCAUUUUUGUUGCACCAAAGUGGUUAACUUCUGUUCCAUGAAGUAUUUCAGUGCUUCAUAGUCAGUUUUUAUAAUGAAUCGUUAUCCUAACAAGUAUGUUCUCCACUUCUGCACUACCAUAAUAAUAGCUAACAACUCUUUUUCAUAAGUUGAGAGACCCAAGUGUUUUGCAGACAAAGCCUUACUUAAAAGGCUAAUGGUCUAUCUUUCUGCAUUAAUACUGCCCCCACACCUGUAUGACAAGCAUCUGUUUCAAUUAAAAAUGCUUUAGAGAAAUCAGGUAGUGCCAGAACUGGAGUAUUUGAUAAGGCUUCUUUAAGUUUCUGAAAUGCUUGUUCAGCUUCUUCACUCCAAUGAAAUGCCCCUUUCCUUAACAAAUUAGUCAAUGGUUUGCUGAUAGUUCCAUAAUGUUGCACAAAUCUCCUAUAGUAGCAUGUGAGACCUAGGAAUCCGCUUAGCGACUUUAAUGAUUUAGGCCUGGACCAUUGCAUCAUAGCUUCCACUUUGCUCUUAUUAGCAGUCACCCCUUGCUCAUGAUAACAUGUCCCAAGUAGUAUCUUCACUUGUGGUUGUGCAAAGGUAGGUGCAUUUGGCCUUCUUAACACAGAAUUUGUUAUGCCUUUAAACUUCAAAUACUUGUUGUAAAUUAUUUUUAUGACUUUCUAAUGAAGGGCUAUAUAUCAAAAUGUCAUCAAAGAAAAUCAGUACAAACUUCCUUAGAUAUGGGCCAAAUACCUCAUUCAUUAGGUGCCAGGUGCAUUGGUCAAGCCAAAGGGCAUGACAAGGAAUUCAUAGUGUCCUUGGUGAGUCUUGAAGGUUGUUUUCUGGGUAUCUUCAACUUUUACCCUAAUUUGGUGAUAACCACUCCUUAGUUCUAGCUUAGUAAAGAACUUGCUUACUUUCAGCUCAUCCAAUAGUUCUUCUAUAAGAUGGAUAGGAAACCUUGUUUUUGACAGUUAUGCUAUUCAAAGCCCUGUAGUCAACAUAAAAUCUCCAAGAAUUGUCUUUCUUUUUAACUAACAAUACUGGAAGCGUAGGGAGAAGUGUUGUGCUCGAUAAUUCCACUGUUAAGCAUCUCGUUGACCAUCUUUUUAAUUUCAGUCUUCUGUAUGUAAGGGUACUUGUAGGGAUUUGUAUUAACAGGAUUGCAGCCAGGCAUGAUUGGUAUGUGGUGAUCUUGCCAUCUUAAAGGGGGUAACCCUUGGGGUUCUUGGAAGAUGUCACUAUAAGUUGAUACCAACUGUUCUACCACUUCUAGAACUUGAUCAUCUGUUUCUCGGACCCCUUCCACUGCUGUUAACUGAACCAAAAAAUAAGUCUCUUCCUUGGUUUCCACUUAAACUUAUUUGUUGUUUGCACUGUGUAGAAUUGUCAUGUAUCCUCUUGAUCUCCUAAUACUACCUUUUUUCCCUUUCAAUGUAUGAUGACUUCUCUUUUUCCAUAAUCAAGACUCACAAUUUGCAUCCACUGAACCUCUAGUACUGCAUCAUAUCCUCCUAAAGGAAUAACAUACAUAUGGCCUUGGAACUCACCUUGGGCCAAUUUCCACUUAAAUUGGCUGAUCCUUCUAUCACACCUUAUGCACUCACCAUUGGCAACUGUGAUCUUAAUUGGAGGGCAUGGCUCAAUAGAUAAUUGAAGUUCCUUGACCAAGGCUUGUGAGACAAAAUUAUGUGUGGAUCCACUGUCCAGUAACAUGUUUAUGUACCUGUUUUUAGUUUGGCCCUGCAGUUUGAUAGUGUGAACUCCAUGAGCUGUGAUGGCAUGAAAUGAAACUUCACAAUCAUCCUCAAUUUGCACCUCAAUCUGCAGUAUUUCUCCCUCUUCUCCUUGUGUAAUAAUUGCUAACUCCGGUUCUGUUUCUUCUGGAAGUACUGUUUCUUCUUCAUCAGUCAUCAUAAGGUAAAUGUGUUUUUGUUUACAUUUGUGCCCUUGUGUACACUUCAUCACAACUGUAGCAUGAGCCCUUAUUCCUCCUUUCUGCCAUUUCUGAUGUAUUUAAUCUCUUAAUUGGAAAAGAUUUCUGGCCUGCCCCCAUCCUAGCUGGCUGGAAUGCUUCCUUGUGCAUAGCAGAGUUUGGUUUGCCCCUUUGCAUUUGACUGUUUCCCCCAAUUUUGGAUGUGCCCUGAGUCCUUCUGUCUAGGGAUUCUAGAAAAACUUCUUGUCUCCUAGGUUGAUUAAUGGCUUCCCUAAGAGAUUGUAGUCUCACCAGGUACAAGGCAUUGGCAAUCUCAUCCUUUAAGCCACUAAGAGCAUUAACAACAGUUUUCCUAAUCAACUCUCUAUCCCCAAUUUUGAAGAAUACAUCAACAAAUCAUUAUUCAACAGUUUCCUUAUCCUUAUUUGACUUUUUAUUUUAAUCCCUAUAUAGGAUUUUACUCACAUUAGUCAAAAGAUCGUUCUCUAUAUAUACAAAAUGACAUUUCACACCCUCAUUUAAGUGGACAACUCAUCAAUCAUACACAUCUUGACAUUUUUUUACUACUUCAUUUUCAAAUUAUAAACUUAAUAUUUACUUAUUUUUUAAAAAUUAAUUUCAAACGUAUUCAAAUUUAAAAUUAAUAUAAAUUUAUUUAAUUUAUGUCAAUAUAAUUAUAAAUAUUAUAAAAGUACUAUUAAUUAUAAAAUUUAUUAUUUUCAAAAUUUAAAUGAAUCAUAUUAAAUUUAAAUUUAAAAAUAUCACAAAUUAAUUUUUUAAAAGUUAAUAUUGGUCUUAUGUACAUUUGCAUCUACAAUCCAUUCAAUACUCACUCCAUAAAUUACUUCAAAUUUAAAAUAAAAUAAAAAUUAUUUUACACUAGAAUAUAAUUGAUAAAUUUACUCUCUUUUUUAUAAAUUAGAAUAUUAUUAUUAAUUUGAUGAUUUGACUGUUAGAACUUUUAAAUUUUAAAUUUCAUUAUUUAAGGAAUUAAUAUAAGGAACCUGUUGGGUACAUAGUGAAAAAGUUGAAUUCCUAUUUUGCAUAAUGACCCAAUACCACUACAGAGUAGGGAUAAAGAUAAGGCCACUAUUGUGAAUACUCUAAGGAAGCUUUCAAUAAAAUAUUGCUCAGUAUUUCCCUUAUUUUGGGACAGCAUGUAUGUUUUCAGCUUCCUUAUGUAAUCAUCUACUUUCCCUCUUAACCGAGGUUUUUCAUCUUGCAGGGAUUGAUACCAGAUAUCAGCCUCUCCCUCUAAAUAAAGAGCAGCAUACAAUACCUUGGAUCUAGGAUCUAACAUGGCAUUAAGUUGAAAGAAUUUCUCACACGUCUUUAGCCAUUCUCUUGGAUCUCUACCUUCAAAGUGUGGAAAGUCCAUUUUUUGGUAUGGGAAAGUGUAGGAAAAGGCUGGUAGUUUGUCUGGAAUGGGUUCCUUCUAUAGGGUGGCACCAGGGAUGGGUUCCAUUUAAAGGAGGGGGGUAAUUAUUGACCUAAUGUGUUGGUGUUGUAUUAGGAACUUGUGUGAAACUGGAGGAAGUGUAUGGAGGAAUUGCAGAGGUGUUCUGCAUACUGAAGUUGGGUUGACCAUAGCUGGUAGCGUAAAUUGGUAGUGGUUGUGUUGAGGGGCUGUAGGCCAUAUUGUGAAUGGAAGAGUUCUGGUGGUUUGAACAAGCAUAAGUUGGAGUAGUGGUUCCUAUAUUACCAGGUGCCUCUAAUUGGGGAAGCCAACUUAGCAUAGGAAUGUUAGAUGGUGGGGGUCGGAUUGUAUAAGAGCUAGUCAAAGUCACAGCAGGAAUUCUAACUGAUGGUUCAAGUACUGAAACUAUGGAGGAAGGUUGUGUACAUGGGAUGGAAGCUGCAUAGUGGGUGUUCUGCAUACUAGCACCUGGUCUAAGAUUGUGAUUUAAGGCUGGUGAACAGAUGUUGGUAGUAGUAAGGAAGGUUGUUGCUGUACCAAAUUGCAGUGGUGUUGCGAAAGUUGUUGUUGUGGGUGCUGGUAGCGAUGGCUCAACAGCAAUAGUUGAUGUGGCUGAACCGGAAGUGAGUGGGUGGAUCUCAGCUGCUGCAAACUUCUCCUUCUCUCACUGGUGGCUUGCAGCCUCUGAUUGAUUUGGGAGAUUUGGUCUUCCAUUACUCCCAUCUGUGUCGAUGUCUGCUCAAGGUUCUUAGCCAUCAGUUCUUGCAUCUGUUCCAUCCUUCUAAGGCUUUGAGCUCCUUCUCGUGCUUAUAAAGGCUUAUUUUAGCAGAAGCGUCGGCCGUGGUUGGCCCAGGAGCUGUUCUGAUACCACUUUGUCACGAUUACACUAGAAAAAUUGAAGAAGAAAGCAAAAAGGAUCAAAAGGAAAUUUCAUAAUUUUUUGGAUAAAAACUUUUACAUCACUCCGACUGAUAUUUUAUUCAGCUGCUCUAACUACUCACAUGCUUUUUCUAACAACCCUUACCAAAUUGAAAGACACGUGUCUAUUGCUAAUUCUGAAAUAACACAACUUUUAAUUGAAACGCUGCGUUUUUGGCAAUUUUGAUAAAUGCUGUGUUUGGCCACUGUUUCAUUAACGGCUAUAUUUUCUCCUACCCUGCCUUCCAUUCUUGACAUAUAUAUCUAUUUCUUCAAACUGCGCUGCUAAUAAUCACAGUGCCCCUCCUCUAUGUAUUAAUUAAAUGUGCGAUGAAUUCUCUACAGAACUAUGUCUGGCAGACCAGAGAAACGGAGAAAGGAGAUUCAUACAUGUAGUAGUGCCGGUAGCAGCAGGGGGAACGAAGUCGUUGCACUGACUUUUCCGACAGACUCGAGUUCUCGUCUUCGGUUGAACCCUAACACCGAUCACAAGCCACCUUGCUAUGAAAAUACGGAAUCGAAGUGCAAUACUCUGCUUUUCAGCUCUCUGGAGAGGCAUUUACCUCCGAUCAUGUUAAACUUUGGUCGUGACACUAAAAUUCAGUACAUGCGGGAUAUUCUUCUUCGAUAUUUACCCGAAAGCGAAUACAUUCGAGUGAGUACAUAAACUGAAAAUAUUUUAUCCUUUCUGUUAGUGAUCGUAGUUAGGGAUGGGAUAUUUGCAUACCAGAAAAGCUAAGGUAAGUGAACACAAAAAUUGAAAUUUGAAAUUCUAUGGUUUGUGAUGUUUAGGCUUGCCAAAUGUAGGAAAAUAACUCUACAUGAUUGAAUUGAAUGUUUCUAGUUUAUGAUGAAUUCAUGUUUGUUUGUUUAGUCGGCAGGGAGGAUUAGGAAUGUGAAAUAUAAUUACAAUUUUAAUUGAGACUUUAUGUCAACUAUAGGGUUGGGGUUGGCAUGCAGAGAAAUUAAAUAAGUAAAUGUGUUGGGCAAGCUUGAGAAAUUUAAAAGUUAGGAUGUUUGGUUUGCAACUCUGUUCUUUGUUUUGGCUUUCCAUUUCCAGUUUCUGUUCUUUAAAUUUCUUGAAAUGAUCACAUGUUUGGAUAUCAUUUUGGAAAUAUUCUUGAGGAAAAAAUUAAUUGUUUUUACCAUCCAUCCCAUAAAGAUGUUUUAAGUACACUUUUAAUAUAAUUUAAGAAAAAUAAAAGUAGAGGGAAAGUAUAAAUAAGUUCUUAUUUACCCAUAAUGAACCCCACAUAAGUACACUAAAGAUUCUUUCUUUCUCUCCCCUAAAAGUAAUGGACCCUAUUUAAUUACUUUGGCCGGUAAAAUAGACUUUACAUUCCAUUCUAAUGAAGUAUUUUUUAGGGUAAAAUAGAUUUAUAUAACAUUUUACAUUUGAAUUGUGUACUUUUUAGACAUAUUUUAUGGGUCAAUAUUUUUAUUUUUUUGUACUUCAGUCAUCUUUUGUGGGACAGCCCUGGGUACUUAUAGUGCAUACUAAUAUCUACUAUAGCAAGUUUUAGUAUGUUUUUGGAUUGUUUAACUGCCUUACAUGCUUUUACAUUCUGAAAACGUCCGAAAGCAUGUUUUCAUGAAAGGGCAAAACGUGGAAAUGGUGUCCAAACAAAUUCUAAAAAUAAAUAAAUAAGAAAGUGUAAAAAUUAAAAGAGUUCAAAAUACAGUUCAAACAAGCCUAAUUUAUGUGAGAGAAUUAUUUUAUUGGUAGUAACACAAGGAUUAAGUUUUAUGUAGUGUUUGACUGGUUGCUAAAUUGUAUGGAUUUAUUACCACAUUGAAAUCUAUAAUGGAGCUUAAAACUCCAGUAUUAGUUGUGUGCACAUUUCAGUGAUAGGAUACAUUUUUUAAAAAUAGUAAUAAAUUUUAUUAGUAUGAAGCUUACGACACACUUCCCUCUCAUUUUAUUGAGUCUGUUGUUGAGCUCUUACCAAUACCAGUGUUUGAAUUUUGGAUUUUUUAAAAUUUUGGAUACUGAUUACUGAGAAAGCAGAGAAAAGUGGGAAUAAGAUUGACUUUCUGAAGCUUUUAUUUUGUGUUGUUUUGGGGGCCAGAGAGAUAAGAAACCACUUCAAUUAAGUUAAGCAACUUAGAUUACAACAUUUGUUUCUCUUGAGCUAAACAGAGCAUGUGUAAUUUGUCUGGCAUAACUUUAUUAUACUGUACGUCAUCUGACCAAACAAAUUUUAAGACUUCUCUACUACUUUUUGACAGGUCCAGAAGCAUAGAGAAUACAGGCAGAAAAUAAUAUCCAACUAUCAGGUAUAAUUUAUGCUGAAAUUUUGUUCAGGAGUUAUUUCUUUUUUCUUUUUCUUUUCUAAUACUGUAUCACAUCUUUUAAUGAGUACAAGUAAAAUAUUCAAAGAGGCACUAAUGGGGUGCCACCCAUGUACAUCGGAACCACAAAGAAAAGGAAAACAUUGCGCCACCCAAACAAAACUGCAACAUUUGUUGAAGCUGUAUUACUAUAUAUCUCUUUACACAAAGUUUGUUUAUCAAAAUAAACGAGUUUAAGCAAAGGGAGAAUGAGAGUGUGCGUGUGAUCUAUGGUUGAUGAUACAGAUCUAAAUAUUUGCAAUUUAUGGUUGAUUAAUCAGGACAACUAGUAAAUACUAGUGAAUAUAUACCUUUGUUUAUACACAAACAGUCCAAUUAUUGGCUAUAUCAUUGUACAAUAUAAAGAAUUGCUUGCACUUUUUUAUGUAGAGAUUGGAGGGCUGCACUUUUUUAAGUGUUUUUUUGUUUUUGAUCUUUUAGGCUGCUGAGGGUGGACUUCUUGUCCCCCAUUUAUGGUAUCAUUUCUUCUCUAGUAAUAAAAUUUCUUCUUUUAUCAAUAUAUAUAUAUAUAUAUAAGGAAUUGUUUGCUUUUCAUGGUCGGCAGUUUUACACCCGGCAUCGUAUAGACAUUCACAAGGGAUGUUGUCGUAAAGAUGAGAUUCGACUAUAUUGGAAUAUGGGAUUUUCAAAAGCAUAAUGAUUAUGGGUGUCAUAUACUUACUUCAUUUUUCCCUACUUAGCAGUAACUCAAAAUUAAAUCACCAUUAUUUUUGUUUUCUACCUUAUAUACUGCUUCCUUCUUUUUUCAGCCUCUGCAUAGGGAGCUAUAUGACAUGCACCCUACAAACUUCUUUGUCCCUUCUUUGCUCAAGGCAGUCAAUGAGAACAACGAGGAGAGUUUUAGAAAUAUAAUCUGUGAACCUUUUCCAGGACUUUUAACAUUUGAAAUGCUGCAGCCACGUUUCUGUGAAAUGCUUCUUGCUGAGGUAUUAUCUAGCCUUUGCUCUGUCUUCUGGCAUGCUAUGUCAGUUUUCCUUGUAGUUUAGCUUUUAUGUUUUCUUAUCACAUUCUGAUUGCUUCGGGUAGGAAAUUUUCAAAAUUGGGUCUGCAAGACAAAAAUCAGCAUAAUGCGACCAAAUACAUUGAAUAAAUAUGGUACUGUUCUUGAUGACUUUGGCAUGGAAACAAUGCUUGACAAGUUAAUGGAAGACUUCAUGAAGCCUCUAGCUAAAGGUUAAUGUAUUUCUGUUCAUAAAUAUAACAUUUUAGCAGUACCAGAAUAAAUAGGCAUAUAAACUGGGUGACAGAGCUCAAUAAUGGGCAUUUACCCUCUUAAUCUUAUCUCUAUUAUUCUGAUUUUAGUUCAAUGCAGUCUUCUUUCCUGACGUUGGUGGAUCAACACUUGAUUCUCAUCAUGGUUUCGUGGUUGAAUAUGGAAUGGAUAGAGAUGUUGACCUUGGUGGGCGAUCACUUCAACCUUUCAUUUCCCUUAUUUUGUCCUUGUUUGGUGUUUAAUCUACGCUUGUAAAUAAUUAGAACUUCACAACAUUUUUCAAUGGCAGUGGAAAAUAAUGAAAGGAAGGCACGUGAUUAAUAGUUCGUGGAUAGAAAUAACAUAAUGUAGUUGAGGUUCCUACAAUCAAACUCUCUUUUAAUUAAUUAAAAAUUAUUAUUGUUGAUUAUUCACCAUAAUGAAAAACUUGAGAUAACAAAAAAUCAUCAAGUUUCUUUUCUGAUAUCUUAAUUUCAGCUAUCGGGUAUCCACUAGUAAUCGACUCUUUAGACAAAAGGAUAGGAAAUGACAUAUUUGUUCAAUAGAGAGACUAUUUUAGCAUAGGAUAUGGAAAAGGCAUGGGGGUUUCCUAUUACACAAUUUAUAGUUUAUGUUUUUUUUUUCUCCUGAUGGUUUUAGAUACGUAGAUUUAUAACAAGAUUAAUCUAUUAGUCCAAUCCUUAUAUCUACUAUUCCAAAGAAAGAGAUAGCUUACCAGUGUAUAUGAUUAUGAUAUGAGAAAUCUCAACAAGUUCACAUUGCCAGGUUUCCACGUGGAUGACUCAGAAGUCACUUUGAAUGUCUGCUUGGGUGAGCAAUUUUCUGGUGGUGAACUUUUCUUCCGAGGUGUGCGGUGUGAUAAACAUGUAGAUGCACAGCCUAUACCGGAGGUAUGUGGGCCUUUAAGAUAAUUUUUUCCCGACUGAAGUUGAUUUCAAGAGUUUCAAUAGAUUGUUCUAAUGAAAUAAUCCACCGAAAAUAGAUUUAAAUUCAAAUGUGACUAAAAGAAAGAGAGAAAAAAAGGGAUUGGGAUUUGAACUCACAUCAUGGGGUGGAUUUAUAUUAAGCCUAGUGGAUAAGCUUUUCUGUAUAUAACUGUUGAUCCUUUAACUUCAGAUAAACCAAAUAUAUACUAAUAGCUAGUAUAAUAGAGACCCAAUUCACCCAAUUUCCUACAAAAUAGCAAAAGUCUGAUUAGUGUUUGUAUUUUUCACAUAAAACACCCACUAACUAGCAUUUAGACUCUGGCUCUGUGCAACCACUGCCACCAAGUCACUAACUACCUAACUGAUAUCAUAAGCCACUGUUACCAACUUUUCCCCCUAAAUAUAGGUCUAUUUUUAAUUACCAACUACAAUUAAUAAUAUAAAAAAAUUAAGGACCAAGUAUAAGAUAAAACAAGAAACCAAUUACGUAACACUCCAUCCCGUUCAUAAUCUUGCUCUGAUGUUUGAGUUGUAAUAUAAUUUCAACGAACCUGGAUGGCGGAUCCCGUACCUUCCUGGCCUCUUUUUUCUUUUUAUGCACUAUCAAUAGAUUUUUCAUGAACUGCUAAAAUUUCAAUCAAUAGAUUUUCUACAUAUUGUUUACAUGAAUAGCUUCUUGAUCUUUUUUCAUAUAGACAUCAAAAUGACCAAAGUUCAUGUUAUGACUAGUUGUAUAGAUCGAUUCUUGGAAGGCAUUAGAUUGAGGGAAGAGAUUCGUUUUAUUAUCUAACUUCACUUAUUCCUUCAUGCUUGUAUUCUUAUUUUUUUCUAAGUUUGAGGUCUAUUAACCAUAAUUGAUCCUUUGAUAAUCUUUUUUUCCUAACUGUUGAACUCAUCUCAGAAUCAUUGAGUUUCUGAAAGAAUUAAGUUUUAUAUUUUCUGAGAACGUUGUUAUCCCAUAAUCAUUUUGUUUACACUGGUUGUGCUUCGAUUUGUAAACCUGUCCGCAGUCAGGUCAGGAAUUAAUGCCUGGAGGCAUUUUUUUAUUUGAAUUUGAUGUGUUUAUCUAAUAAAGUAUAUUUACACUAUGUACAUACACCAUAGAUAUAUAUAAACAUACAUAAGCGGAAAAAUAGCGAAAGAUGAAUGGUAAGACAAUAAGACAGCCACUAACUCGCUUUCUAGCUUUUUGACCCGUUACAACCACUUUAUUAUAACUGGGGAAUGUGAUCUUUUGAAUUUUUCUAGGUCCAAAAAUAUUCUUCCCUCCAAAUUGCAGAGGAAUCUGAUCCUUUUGACUUAUUUCUACCUUAAAUGCUUCCUUUUGUAUUUCUAAACUGAUGGUGGUGAAAUACCAAAGAUAAACCAGUGUUUUUGUAGAUGUUCACAUGCUACCUCUCUGACCUUUAAACUUGAAGUACUUUUCUUCCUUUUUUUUGCAUGUUACAAUAAUGUUUCUGUUAUCCUGCUGAAUCCUGAAAACGAUCAAAAUAACUUUUCCACUUUUAAUUUUAUCAUAUUUUAUUAAAUAUAAUAUGGUUCAAAGCUUUAAUAUAAAAAAGGGAAGAAGAGCAUAUUGUGUAAUAGAGAUGUCAAAAAUUGUCCUACUGAUGUGUCUGCAAUGCAGCUCGAUUUCUGUCGAGCUAUAGCAUAAACAUAAUUCUUUUGUACCGUUAUGAUUGUUGGUUGAAGACUUAUCUGGAGUUUGUAUGCUCAUAGGAGAUAGAGGAUUACCAUCAUGUCCCGGGAUGUGCUAUUGUUCAUCGUGGUCGCCAUCGCCAUGGUGCUAGAGCCACCUUAUCUGGGCAUAGACUAAAUUUGGUUUUAUGGUGCAGAAGGUACCCAAGUCCUUAGACCUUGCUUCUCCUAUUUCUGCUUCUUGUUUGAGUUGUGGCAUCUACUUUGGCAUGAAAUAGAAACAGCACAAUAAAGAAAAGAUUAUGAUAUAAUACCAACAUCUCAUGUCUACAUUAUAUUGCUGACCUAGUACAAACAAAUAUAUAUGUAGCUUAAUGGUAUUUGACAUUUUACUUGUACAAAAUUAUGUAUUACUGACCUCUUCUGAGAUUAUCAGCAUCAAUAUCCUCAUGUAUGCUGAAAAGUUCUCUGUUUCAAAAUCAUACAAGUAAAUAUUUAUUCCCAUUCUCAACCUCAGUAUUUUAAUGGCUGUGUGGAAUUUCUAUUUACUUCCAAAAUGGAACUGUUCUUAUAGGGUAGAUCAGCAAGAAAUCUCUAGAAGGAGAUGUAUGAUAUUUACCUUACCAUUUAAUUUUUAUAUUCAUGUAUAUAGUGGGGACCACUUAUAGAUAUUCUACACAAUUGGAUUUAGAGGUUGAGGACGUUUUUCUAAUUACUCCCGUCUUAGUGAAGAACAAUAUAGUCAAGGUAUGCAUGUAAAGCAUUGAUGUAUAUAUAUGUGUGUGUGUAUAACAGUCUGAGAUUAUUUAGGACAACAUCUAGAAGUAUUUAAAGAAGGGGAAAUGAAGAGAAGAAACCUGUCAUCCAAAGGAUUUGGGCAUUAUGAGAUUUACCAAACUAAAAGGCUAAACUUUAAAGAGGUAGACAGGGUGAACCAGCAUAUGGGACAAAGUACCUUGUCAUAGUCCACGUCAAGAAAGGGGGAANNNNNNNNNNNNNNNNNNNNNNNNNNNNNNNNNNNNNNNNNNNNNNNNNNNNNNNNNNNNNNNNNNNNNNNNNNNNNNNNNNNNNNNNNNNNNNNNNNNNUUUACUUUUUUUAAAAAAAACGACAUUAAUUGAUAACGUUGUUGUCGAACUCAAGUGUCAGCCAGUAGUAUAAACUAUUACCUUGGAGUGCAUAACGAGUUUUUGAUUGUUUUAUGAAUUAGACAUGGCUGAUUAUGUGGUGGAAUGAUAGGGAAGCUAAAAUUAUUGAUUUUAUAUUCUUUUAUAUAUGACUUCUUAUUUGAACGAGUGUUUUCUUUUAAAAUUUAUCCUGCUGCAAAACUUACCAUUAGGUUAACAGUUGUUGUGUUGCAAUAUUUGCAUCAACCCCUCUCCCUCUCCCUCUCCCCCUUCGUAUAAAUAUAGUGAUUUGUAAAACUGAUUGCACUGAGGGUUAUAAAAGGGGUUCUGUUAAUUUGGUUUGAAGAUGCUGAAUAUCAUGUAAAUUAAAAAAACUCAAAAGUUUCUUAUGUGCGAAUUUCGAUUGACCCGUUCUCCUUUAAAAUAUUCACUACCCCCCCAUCUGCUAAAUGGUAUUUGAAGGGUUUUUUUUUUGAAACUGUUCAAACAUACUAUGAAAUUGUUGAAAUAAAUAAUUAUUAUUGUUAAAAUAAAUAAUUAUUAUCAUUAAACCUACGAAUCUUGGUGGGGGUGGAACUUUCUCCCUCAUGUGGCUUGUUUAGUGGAAAAUUCAAGAUCAAGUGACUUGUACAGUGCUAUUAUUAUCUUUUUGUGUGGGGAAGUUCAUUUAUAUCCCCAGUCCCAGGCUUUGUGAGAUUUGGGUGCGAGUCAAUGACAUUACCCGAAGCUCUGGUAGAGAGUAUCAAGAGGACUUGGUUCAAGUCCACACCAUGCAUUUAUACAUUAAUGCAAUAGGACAUUCUUGUCAAUGGUACAUGUUCUGGAGAGAUAACGAGUCUUGACUUUUUUUUGGUUUGGUUUUUUGAGGGGAUGAGUGGUUACUGUUUUAAACUCUUAACAUACACAUACACAUACACACGUGUGUGUGUGUGUGUGUGUAUAUAUAUAUAUAUAUAUAUAUAUAUAUUAUUUUCCUCUUUAUUCUUUCUUCCUGUUUUACUAUUAGAAAUUCCUUCCCUAUGACAACAUGUUUUUUGUUACAUGUAUUCUUUUGUUGUUUUGAUGUAUGUGCAAUGAAUUGGUUGCUUACAUUUAAUAUUUGGAAACCCAAUAAUAAAUCUUUUAAUUACUAGUUCAGUGUUGUACAAUGGAUAAAAAAACCAACUUGCUAGACAUUCAGUAUUGCGAAGCUUCAUAAAAUUCUUCUCUGUGGGAAAGACAAGGUCGUCUUCCCAGUAAGUUAUUCAUGCGCACAUCUACAUAUCCUUGCGACUUUACUAGACUUACUUUUUAUGCAUCUCUCUUAUAUUGUGAUAGAGAUUCUCUUUGUUCACUGGAAUCCAUUUCUCAUCUUGUACUGAAUUUCUCAAUCUUCUUCCUCCAGCUCUGCCUUUAGAGAGCAGAAGAAAUAUCAGAAGGAAUUCUCAGACUGGUGUGGUGAGUGUCAACGUGAGAAGAAAGAAAGGCAGCGUCAGUCUGUUGCUGCCAUUAAACAGGUAUAUAUACAACACCUAAUAGUUAGACAAUUAAUAUAGGGAAGAUCUUGAAUCAUUGUUGGUUUUGUUUGUUUUUACUUUCUUUUUUUUCUCAAGGCAUUACAGGAAGGAAGGAGAAACUGCGGCUUGAAAGAUUUUAUGCAGCUUUGUUUGUAAUGAAGUUGUGACGUAGCACAAGUCUAAUCUUUGAGAUGGGACAGCAUUGUUUUGUUGGUAAACUACAAAAGAGUGAAGCAUGUUGCUUGUUUUUUCAGAGCUGUACACUCGAGUCGUUUUAUGUAGUUGCAAUCAAAUCCACAUUUGUUGGUGAUACCAACUUUUUUUCAUAGUUGAACCAUAUUCAAUUCAAGUAUAAAUAUCAAUUGUUUGUAAUCAUUAUGGUUGAUGUUUUACAUCUGGUGCUUAUUGGCAAUUGUGACUACAAGAACUUUCAAAAGAAAUUCUGUUGCUUAAAAUUGUCAAGUAGCAUCUCUGGAUUCUAUCACUUGUAGAAGCAGCAUGAAGGAUACGGCAUUGGGGAGAUACAGCUAUUAAGGGGAAGAAAAUUUCCUCUCUUUUUUCAUGACUAUUCAAUUCAAGUAUUUCCAUUUCCGAGCACUCUGCUACGAAGUUUUCACCAAAUUCAAAGUCGUGCUUAAUCUCCAGCAUAAAGUUUACAGUCUUGGAUAGAUAUCUCACAUAACAACAUUAUUCCAGCUAAUGUGGUAUUAUGAUGACCUGUGCAUUAGAUGCACCAAACAAUUAUAGGUAGCACCUACUCAAUCGGUUUUCUUUUCCUCCCAAGAACAGAGGCCUUUAGAAAUCUGGGCCCACCCAUCCUCCACUUCUUAAAUGCUGCAGCCGAGGACUGAGCUGCCUCGUACACUUCAAAUGAAGAAACAUAAAAUUAGUAAUCACCCUUCUAUUAUAAAGAUCAGAUCGGAAUAUUAACGGAUAAAACAAGUUGAGAGAUCUUACAUUUAAUUUCUUCUUCCGUUAGAAGGGUCAAGAAUUUUGGAGCCACUGCAAAUGCUGUAGUAUGAGCCUUGAUCAAGACUUCCUUGUACCUGGUUCGGAAUGCAAUCAAAAGGACAAGACCAAUGGUUUUGUCACCAACCCUAUCCAUUGGGGAAAAAAAAAAAGAAGAAGCUCCGUCAGAAACCACUCUCAUCUGAGAAACAAACAUUGGCAACCAAAAGUUAGACAAUGACAUUUUCACAACCAACCCUUUGUUAUUUAAUAAAGAAAACAAUACAAAAUAUUAGAUGAAUGCAAAAUGCUUCAACAGAAUAAAAAAUAAAAUAAUGUAGUCAUUUUUUUUCUUUUCUUAUGCCACCUAAAUGUAUUGAAUGAAAAAACUCCUAGUUGAGAUUUAAGAGUAUCCUCCAUUCCUCCUACAACAUUUCACCUUAACCAUCUCAAUUGCUUCUACUUUAAAGUAAUAUAUCUAAAUAUUACUCAGGAAGCAUUUUGUUAUGAUACCAAAGUCCAGGCAAAUUAAGUCCAAAGUUACUCGGCUGUAAAUUAAGUUUCGCACUCCUAUUAACUAUUGGCAUUAGAUGCACGACAUGUAUUUUAUCCAUUCAAGGGGUGAGGAAGAUACAACUAGGGGUGAUCAUUAACAGGGGUAAAAGAAAGGAUGCCAAUGAAUAUAUUAGUUUCUUUUUUCCUUUUAUGACAAGCAAAGAGUUAUAUUAUUUGCUUCUUUCAGAUUGUUUCUCCAGUUAGUAUGUCUGUAUGUGAAAUUCAAUCACAUGAAUCUAACAAUUAGAACUCACGCUUAAAUACCAAGUCAUUACUUCAAUAUCCUUUUUGUGACCCAUAUACAUCUCAACAAAGAGUUUCUACCCAUGAAAAAAUGACAAGUGAUUUAAAAUUUUAUAACUUGUGACGUUACAUUUACUGAAUCAGAAAACACUGCCUCAGUAGCCUUUACAAAAGACACUUUGCAGACUUGGCCGAGAAACUUUUCUACCCGUUAUAAUGCAAAAAAUGACCAGUUUUUACCUAAACUCAAGUAGGACUUCUCCAAAAAGAUACCCGGAACUCAACUCCGCCUUUUAUCCCAACAUAGUUGGGGUAGGCUGAAAACGAAUCCAGAUGAAAAUGUAAACAUGCAAAGAAAAGGAGAAAUCCAGAACCCCACAUAUUCCAACAAAUAACAAGAAAGCCUAUGGUACCAAAAUAUCUAAUAUGACAACAGAUAAGUAGCAUCCAAUGAUAUGGUUUAGCUAUUUUCUAAAAUUAUCCUAACAUACCAACAAGCGUAUUUGCGACCACUAUAUAAUAGCGACCGCAUUCGGUCGCGGAUACUUCCACAUCAUUUAAAAUCAGCGACCGCAUGCGGUCGCGGAUGUAUUUCAAUAAACCAGUAUCAGUUCGUCACUGUCAAUCCAGAACAGAAGAAAAAAAGAGGGAGAAAAGAAGAGGGAGAAGAGGAAGGAGGGGGAGAAGAGAAGAGGGAGGAAGACUGACGCCGCUGCCGCCGACGCCUUCACCACCGCCGGUAACCCAGAUUCUUCACCAAAUGUCUCUAAAUAAGCACAAAUCUGUUUGUUUGUUUUGUUUUUGCUAUUUUUUUCUAUCAAUAGUUUAAGCUAAUAAUCUAAUAAGCACAAAUCUGUUUUUUUUUUUUUUGAAUCAAUAGUUUAAGCUAAUAAUCUAAUAUAUUAAUAAGGAAAAUAAUAAAAGAAUAUUUCUCUGCUAGAUGAGCUCUUCAUCCCAUUUUAUAUGUCCUAUUUUUGGUUUUGUGUAUUCUAAUAUGUUUGUUACUUUAAAAAAUCAAUGCAAGACUAUAUCACCCUUUUACAAACUAGAGAAUGAAACUUGCGAGUCCCAUCAUGUCUUACACCUAUGAAAAAGGAUAUUUAUAGAAUGCGUUGGUCAAAUUUACUUUUUCUUAAACUAUGUGACAAUUUGACUUUGGCUCAAAAAAUGGGACAGAUGGAGUAUGGCAAGAGUCCUAUUAGGAGAUUCUCAAACAAUUGGAAUUCUCUUGCAAAUUAUAUAAUUUUAAAAAGUUGUUUUCAAGUUUUCCACCUUUUAUCUUGUUCAAUUGCUAGAGAUGAGAACUAUAUGAAUGACAUUCAUAUACUAAUCUAAUAAAAGAGUGUUGAACUAUAUGAAUAUAACAUUACUAUUGAAUAUAUUGUUGUUGAAAUUUAGAUAAAUUGUUGUUGAUAUUGCUGAAAUUGGGACAAUUUUUGGGUUUCUUAUUGUUGUUACUAAUAUUGGAUUCUCCUAAAUUAUGCCCUGAAAUUGGUCAAGUAUGCAUGCCCUCGUGCAUGUGGAUAGUCCAUAUUAUAGGGUAGACUCUGCCGAAUUUUUUUCAUAUAUAAGUCAAAUGGCUAUAUAACUUGAACAUUAGGGCUUAACCCAAAACCUUGGUUGCAAUAUAUGAUCUUACUUAUACCAAUCCAAUAACUUGAACAUGAGUAUGACAUAAAACAUAACUAGGAAUUAAGUUUAUCCAUAAUUCAAUCAAGAAGAAGGUUCAAGAGAUUCUUAUACAUUCUUGUUGCUCUUAUAUGCCUACAAAUAGUCAAGUAUGCAUGUCCUCGUGCAUGUGGAUAGUCCAUAUUAUAAGGGAGACUGUCGAAAUUUUUUCAUUGGUCGGGUAAUUUAGACUUGUCCCAAUGCAUAUGCAGAGCAUGCAUGAUGCAAUGAUUCAUAUUUUACACCUAGGAAUCUAUUGUCUUUAGGUUGUUUUGGCAUUUAUCCUUGUUCAAUUCCCGAAUAAUCAUAUAUGAUGCACACUCAUGUUAUAUAUGUACAUAUACAUCUAUAUGUAUUUAUAAGCAUCAUAAAUGGGAUNNNNNNNNNNNNNNNNNNNNNNNNNNNNNNNNNNNNNNNNNNNNNNNNNNNNNNNNNNNNNNNNNNNNNNNNNNNNNNNNNNNNNNNNNNNNNNNNNNNNNNNNNNNNNNNNNNNNNNNNNNNNNNNNNNNNNNNNNNNNNNNNNNNNNNNNNNNNNNNNNNNNNNNNNNNNNNNNNNNNNNNNNNNNNNNNNNNNNNNNNNNNNNNNNNNNNNNNNNNNNNNNNNNNNNNNNNNNNNNNNNNNNNNNNNNNNNNNNNNNNNNNNNNNNNNNNNNNNNNNNNNNNNNNNNNNNNNUUUGCAGUUGCGACAUUACUUAACAUCAAGGCUGACCACAACAUGAGCCAUGAAUGUUUUGAGUCGCUCUUGACGGCCAUUAAGAGUAUGUUGCCUGACGGUGAGAAAUUACCUGGUAACUAUUACUUUUGUAAGAAAAUAGUGAAGAAGUUGGGUCUUGGAUACCAAAAGAUCGAUGCAUGUCCCAACGAUUGCAUGUUGUUUUAUAAGGAAAAUGAUUAAAUGACAAGGUGCACGUUUUGCAGUCAUGAUCGGUUUAGGCCUAAUAAAGAGGGUGUGACUACAAAAAAAUCAAGUAUACCGUUUAAGAUUCUAAGGUAUUUUCCAAUAACACAUCGGUUAAAAAGAUUGUACAUGUCUUCAAGAACAGCUAAACAUAUGAGUUGGCAUGCGAAAUCUCUAGCUAAAGAUGGAGAACUAAAUCAUCCCGCAGAUGGGCAGGCUUGGAAAGAUUUUAACUUACGACAUCCUGGGUUUGCAUUGGAGCCUAGAAAUGUGAGGCUUGGAUUGUCCACCGAUGGUUUCAAUCCGUUUGGCCACUCAGCUGUUCCGUAUUCAUGUUGGCCUGUGAUUGUUACUCCGUACAACUUGCCUCCUUGGAUGUGUAUGAAACAGCCAUACUUGUUUCUUUCACUCGUGGUUCCUGGUCCUAAGAGUCCUGAAAAGAACUUAGAUGUUUACUUGAGACCUCUUAUAGACAAGUUGAAGGUAUUGUGGGAGGAUGGAGUACAGACUUGGGAUGUUGCAACGAAAAUAAAUUUCAACCUUAGGGUAGCGGUUAUGUGGACUAUAAGUGACUUCCCAGCUUAUGGUAUGUUAGCUGGAUGGAGUACACACGGGAAGUUGGCUUGUCUGUAUUGUAUGGAGCAUACAAAGUCUUUCAAUCUAUCAAAAGGUCGAAAGCCUUGCUGGUUUGACUGUCAUCGUCGGUUCUUGCCGGUAGAUCACUCGUUUUGAAGAAAUAAAGAACACUUUAGGAAAGGAAAAGUAGACAAUGAUAUGCCUGCACCGCGAUUGUCGGGAACGGAGAUGCGAGAUUGUGUGAUGAGAUUGCCGGUUAUCCCAUUUGGUAAGAUUGAUGCCACAAACAUAAUCAAUGGGUUUGGAGAAUCUCAUAACUGGGUUCGGAGAAGCAUCUUUUGGAAAUUGCCUUAUUGGUCUACAAAUUUGAUUCGUCAUAAUUUAAAUGUGAUGCAUAUUGAGAAGAAUAUGUUUGACAAUGUGUUUAACACCGUGAUGAAUGUUACGGGGAAGACAAAAGAUAAUGAUAAGGCACGUUUGGACAUGAAAGAUAUUUGUAAGCGUCCUGGAUUAGAACUUUAUGAAUAUCCUAAUGGUAAGAUUAUUAAACCGCAUGCAAGGUACACAUUGUCCAAAAAGUAAGUUGAAGAUGUGUGCACAUGGGUUAAGUCUCUGAAGCUACCAGAUGGAUAUGCGUCAAACAUUGCAAGGUGUGUUACGGGUGAGAAAUUGCAAGGGAUGAAGAGUCAUGACUGUCAUGUGUUCAUGGAGAAACUCAUGCCUAUAGCAUUUCGGGAUCAGCUUGAUAAACCAAUAUGGGAUGCUUUGACGGAUCUUAGUCGUUUCUUCAAAGACUUAUGUUCAAAAUCAUUAAAUGAAAAGAACAUGUCUGUACUUGAGAAGAACAUCAUAGAGAUCACGUGUAAACUACAAAAAAUAUUCCCACCUGGUUUUUUUGAUUCCAUGGAGCAUUUGCAAAUCCAUCUUCCCUAUGAAGCUCGUGUUGGGGGUCUAGUUCAAUAUAAAUGGAUGUACCCUUUCAAGAGGGUGAUGGGAAACCUUAAGAGGAAGGUGAAGAAUAGAGCUUAUGUCGAGGGGUCGAUAUGUGAGGCAUACAGUUUCGAUGAGAUAUCUACGUUUGUCUCAGAUUAUUUUCCGGACGAAGUCUUGACAAAGGCCAAUCGAGUAUCGAGACAUAAUGAUGGGGGAAAUGUUGAACUAAAUGGUCGGCUCUUUAUAUUUGGUCUAUCGGGUCGCGCUUAUGGAAAAGGGAAGCGCAUAUUCCUCUCUGAGCAAGAAUUACAUGCUGCACAUACUUACAUUCUUCUCAAUUGCGAUGAGAUUGACGAAUUUGUGAGGUACACAUUUAUUUUCCAAUAAUUUAUCUUGUAAGUUGAAAAUGUAUUCCAAUAUGUUAAUGUUAAUAACAUGGUAUAGAUUGUACGAUGACGAGUUAAAAGUGAAGCAUCCUGACAUAACUGAUAAAGAUAUUCAAAUCAAUCGUGAUAACAAAUUUGCACUUUGGCUAAAGGACAAAAUAAGUUCAACUAUUGCAUAACAUGGCAUACACUCCAUAUUAACUAUGACUUCAUUUAAUAAGAUGGAGUUUUUGUAGGCUUUGACUGAGGGAUCAAUUAUUCCGGCUAAUGUACAAGUCCUAGCUAUGGGACCAGACAGGGACCAAGUCAGCCGCAAUGGUUACAAAAUAAAUGGUUGUGAAUUUCAUACAAAGGCAUAUGGGCGCGGUAAAAGAACAACGAACUAUGGAGUGUUUGUCCAAGGAGAUUGUUACAAUGAGCUUGGUCGUGCCUUUUAUGGGGAGUUGGAAGAAAUCGUAGAGUUGUCGUACAAGGGCACAUACGGGGGUCAUAUUAACUUAUUCAAGUGUCGUUGGUUUGAUUCAGAAAAAGGGAUACGUGUUGACAGACAUGGAAUCAUCGAUAUUGACCUCCAUAGGUCGGCUUACUCCAACAAACCGUUUGUUUUACCAACUCAAACAGUACAAGUAUACUACACUCCUAGUCCUGUUAGGAAAAGGGAUAGACCGUCUACAGAUUGACAAGUUGUAAUUUAUACUCAUACGCGCAGUCGUGUCCAAGUAGUAGACGAGAAUUUCUACCAAGAGGAGAUGCUUCACAGACCUCCUAUAAUAAAUAUAGAGGACAACAAUGAUGUAAUCCAGUUAUAGGGUGGAGAUGAACCUGCUGAAUUGGAUCCCGAGACAGUUAUUGUGCCCGAUGACAGUGAUACUGAGGAAGAGUUAUUAACUGACACUGACACAGAAUCUGAAGAAGAAUAUGGUUAUGAAUCUCCGACACUUGUACAAAAUGAUUCUGACUCAGACAACGAUUUUCAUUAAAAUGUAUGUUUAUAUAGUUCUAAUUGUAAACAUGAUAAUUACAUAUAUGAAUGUUCUUUAUAUCCUUAACAUGUUUAUGUACCUUUCAUUUAUAGUUGUCUAUGUUAACUAUUUCAUACAAUUAAUUGUCAUUACUUACAUUCUUAUAUAAAAUGUAUGUUUACAUAUAAUUACAUAUGUACAUGUUCUCAUACUAACAUCCUAAAUUUUUUAUUUAUAGAUGUCUUCUGAACCUGCAGCACGAAAUCGCGGGUUAGGUCGGGGCCCUAAUCAUGUGCCGAAGGCCUCGGCUAAUCCGAAUGAUCGCAUUCUUAUACAGAUACGUCCACUUUCAGAAAGCACGUAAGUUAAACAUCGUGUAUAUAUAAGGGUUUAAUAUUUUCAUUAUUAUAAAUAUAUAUGACUAUAAAUUAUUGUAUAUUGUAGUGAUUUUCAAGAUAGUAAAAUUGUGAAGUGCAUUUCACAAUUAUGCUUACAAAAUUGGACUACGCCAGUGAUUACAUGGGCGAGCACACCUCUCGCCCAUAAGGAUGCAGUUUGGGGUGAAUUUCAGGUAUAUUUUUUUAUCACUCUGAUAGAUAAUACAUAGUUAAUCAAAUAAUAUUGUUUAGUAAUGUUGGAUUAUGGUAAUAUAAUAUAACCGUUUUAAUGUUAUUGUUGUUUUAUUUGCAGAAGCGGUAUAGAUGGGACGACGCACAGGCAUCAGUUAUUUAGACACUGUUCUGGCAAAAGUGCGCCGUCCGAACUAAAGAUAAUCUGAACAAGGAACGACAAAAAGCCCUGCACAAUGCUGAGAUUGACCAUCCAGGACAGGGUGAGCAGUAUAUGCAUGAGCAUAGUCCCUGGUUGUAAGACCCUAAAUUAUUAUUAAAUAAAAAUGAAAUUUCUUUUAUUUAUUAUUUUAAAAUAGUAAGGGUUGAUUUGAUUAAUGUGGUAAGUUAUGGGUAAAAUGCGCAAUUAUUUCAAACAAGCAAGUGGUUUUAAAAUAUUCAUUGUUGACGGGGAAUAUUCGUUUGGUCGUGGAAUAUUCGUACUGUCGGGGAAUAUUCAUACGACGGCGCAGCCUUGUGUGGGCCCCAUAACGGAAACGAUUGGAUGAAGAAAACGACAAGAAUAAGUUGGUUAUAAAUAACGGCGUAGUUGUUACUGUUAAUACUGUUGGAAUACCCGGUGGUUAAAACACAGUAAUACGCGUUGUUGCACAGUAGCACACGGUAUUGCACCAAUUAUUGAUUCUUACGUAAGAAGGCACUACUCAAUAAUGGUUACAGUAAUUACUGUUCAGUAUUUUAUUUUAUUGAUUCAAUAAUUGCUGCGUUGAUAUUUUAUAUUGCUGUUGUUUCAAUAAUUGUCAUUACACAGUAUUUUUCAUUAUCGAAGCAAUAAUUCAUAUUAUCUGAAUAAUAUUAUUAGAUAACAUUAUUGGCAAUGUCUAGAAAGUUCUGUCUAAGGAGAGGUUUGGUCACCUAAUUGCGCGCCAGUAAGGAGAAAUUCUUAUUGGAAAGCCCCCUCUUUCCUGGGAACUGCCUGGUUGUCAGUAUUGUGAUUCUGUAAUAUUAUUUGUGAAUAAUUAAUUAUUGAUUUAUAUGAUGAGGAAAAUAUUGAUUUUAUGUGGAUAUAGAUGGAGAAAAUUUUUAAUGUGACAAUUGUUGAAAAUUAAUAUUUUAUCUUUUUCUGAUAAAAUAAUUCAUUUAAAUAUAUUAUUUUAAUAAUAUAUUAACGGUGAUAUUUUUACAAUGAAUGUGGGAUAUAUGAGUAUAUGAGGAGGAAGAGUAUUUUUGUGGCAUUAAAUGAUUAACACAUGUUUUGUGUGUCGGUGGACCCCAAUUAUUGACCGAAAUUUGAUUAUAGCUUGUAAAAUCGUCCGUUUGUGAAUUUCGGUCAAUUUCUGUUUGAAAUUUGAAAAAACUUUCUUCUGCAAAGUUGUAGAGAAUUGAAUUUCCUAUAAAAAUUGGCGAGAUUCGAAUUUUCUGACAAAAGGGAUAUUUGUUAUGAAUUAUUGAAGUUCCGAAGUUCUGAAAUAAUUGAUUUUUGGGAGUUUUAGUUGAUUAUUUUGAGAAAAACGUUUUUUGUGCAAUUAGUGGGCUCACAUGUGUUAUAAAUGAUCUGAAUUCAGAUUUUCAAAGGUGGGCUUGACAAAAAUUUAAGUAUAUUAUUAUUAUUAUAUUAAAUUUUCUACUUUGGUGUUCUAAGCAUUUUCCUAUAAAUAGGGAGCUUAGGUUAGAAUUGAAAAUCACACCAGAAACUGAAGUUUUCUCUCUAUUUCUCUCUCUAUAUAUCAAGUAUAUUCUUGUGAGUAUACUUUGAGUGUUGCUAUACGGUGCAAGUUCAAGUCGUAGCCUAUAUCCGGUGUUUCAACUAGAAGUACUGUCUUUCGAGGUAAGGGAUGUUAUUUUCUUCAUAUAUGAUAUUAUUUCUUCAAUAUCAUUAUGCCGAAAUAUUGGUUGGAAAUUUUUAUCAAAUUUAAAACUUUUUCAUGUCGGGGUUACUAUUCAUGAGUUACUAUUCACGAGUUACUAUUCACGAGUUACUAUUCACGAGUACUAUUAUGAAUAUGGUUGAUUUUAUUAUGAAUAUCUUUGGCCUGUAGUGCAAAGAUGGUGGAUUUUCUUAUGAAUAUCUUUGGCCCGUAAUGCAAAGAUGAACAAGUGUUGAGAUGAACAUGACCAACUGAUGAAUAUCUUUAGCCUGUAGUGCAAAGAUGAAUAUUUGAUUCAAGAUGAAUAUUGAUUGAUGUUACAGGGAUAAAAUAAUGAUGAUGGACUGUUAAAUUCAUAGAUAUUAGUAGAUUUCAUUCUCUACGUAACUCUUUUAUGAAUUAUUAUUUUCGCUGCGAAUAUUGAUCUGAAACUUGUUGUCUAUUGUAUUCUAUCAGAUUUUUCCCUGUUGAAGACUAACGAUAAUUUGUUGUACAUUAUCUUAGUCAUAACAUUAUUUACUGGGCUAGUUGAGCUCACCCUUUUCUUUUGUUCCAUUUUUCUUCUCAAGAAGCGAGAUUAUAACGGGAACUAGUUGGGGUGUGGAGUGAUGGUUCAAGAUAGUUAUUUUAGUAGUCCUCCCUAUUUUGUAAAUAGUGUAUCAAUAAUGAGGACUUAUUUGAGUGUGGAUAUUGUAUAGAAGACAAUAUUUGUAUUUAAACUCACAGUAUAUAUGUUGUCGUAUUUUGCACGACAAAUGUAUUAAUAAAGUUGUAGUUAUUUCUGUACCAUGUAUUUGGCGACUCAGAAUGGGUUGGUUGGAAUGGACCUAUUUUGGGGGCGUCACACUGGUGGUGCGCACAUCCUAUAUGGGUGCAAAUGUGUGACCAGUGGAGAGCUGAGAGCUGGAUCAAGAGACGCAAGACUGCCGCCUCGAACAGAUCCUCAGGUGUAUCUAAAGGCGAAAAGGCAAAAGGCACGUACAAUGGCGGCAGUAUAUCACAGCUGCAGCAUAUUACUGUUAGGGUACGUUUGUAUAGCAAGCUUAUUGGCUUAGUUAUUUGUUUUUAUGUUUACAGUCAUGUUUCUGGCGCUAAAAUAUCAUAUGUUUACAUAUUAAUAUGAGAACAUGAACUGUAGGAGUCUGAGUCUCAAGGUCAACCUAUCAAUUGGUUGGAUGUGUAUGUGGCCACCCGUGAUGGUCUGCCUGAUGCUGUUCAGAUAGCGGUAAUAAGUUAACUUUAUACUAAUAUAAUGAUUCAUAAAUUGUGACGACCUUUUUAGCAUUUUUUUCAUUUAUUUUUAACUAUUUAAUUGUUGACCUUUUGACAGGACACUUAUAAGGGCUUAAUGAACGAGCGUUAUCCUGAAGGCACCCCGCGUCCGUUGAUUGAUCAAGAAUUAUGGGAGAGGGCGUCCGUCGUGAAGAAAAACUAUGUUUAAUGCCAAGGACAAAAACGACGCCCGACCAUCAGUGGCACAGGAUGCUCUGCUACCCAGUCUAGUCAUCAGGUCAUCCAGCCUAUCUUACACCUGCUGACUGUGUGAGAGCGAUCUGCCAGAAUCGUGAUCUUCUUCGUAUACUGGGCGGGCAUCUGCAUACUCUUAGUCCUGAUGAGUUGGCGGAGACAGUGGCGGCAGCAGCAGCAGCAGCAGCAGCAGCAGCAGCAGCAGCAGCAGCAGCAUCAUCACAGCAUCAGGAUGGCGACCAGGUAUAUAUAUCGAUAUUGUUACUGUUACUGUCUUACUUAUAUGUUUCACUACAUUGUCUAUUGUUUAGCUUUUAAUUCCCAAAUGAUAUAGCAGUAUCAACACAUGUAACAUAUAUGUUUUAUUCUUUUGUUAAUUACAGGGUACUAAUUUGGAUGAUCCAUGAAGAGCUACACCAGUCAUAUAUGUUAGAUUUUUAAAGCCUUGUUAGACUUGUUUUUUAGAUUUUUAAAGCUUUGUACUCUUUUAGAUGGAUUCUUUGGACAAUUGUAUUGGUUUACGAUUAUAUUAUAUGGAUGUUUACGAUUGUAUUGUGUUGGUUUACGAUGUAUGUUUAUCAUAUAGUAGUUAUCAUUGAUGAAUGUUUAUCAUAUAUGGUAGUUAUCAUGGAUGGAUGCUUAUAUAUACUGCUGUGUGCUGGGAUAGAAAGCAGGUACAAAGCAGGUUAUUUUUGGAAAAUCAAUAAAACAAAAAAAAUAUUAAAAAAAUAAUAAUAAGCUCAGCGACCGCAUGCGGUCACUAACACUGAACUACGGUCGCUGAUAGAUACUUUGAAACUAGCGACUGUUUCGGUCGCUAUUGACGGUCGCUGACACGUGUGACACAUCACAGCUGACAAAUGACUCAGCAUGAGUCAUAAUAGCGACGGAUUCGGUCGCUAACUGCGGUCGCUGCCCUUUCGGUCGCUAUUGUUGGUCGCUGACGUCCAUCCAGCGACCAGAUUAUCUGCGACUACUAUCAGCGACCGCAGUCGGUUGCGGAUACUCAUCUACGACCGAAUGCGGUCGCUGAUAAGCCUUUUUGUUGUAGUGGUGGUAUUAAUAUUAGGUUAAAUUAAUUGAUUUUUUGUGAUUGUAUUUAUGAUUUGAUAGGAGCCUGAAUUUUUACGAAUGGAUGCUGAGAUAGUUCAAACGCAUAUGCAAGAGGUGGUUGUUGCCAAUUAUCGUGUUUUCAUUUUCGCAGCUGAUGCAUUUCUUUUCAUUCGUUAGAAAUUUUCUUCUAUUAAUAAACAUAUGAGAUCAUAGUACCCAAAAUAUUUUUAUUUUUUUACUUUCACUUUAAAGUUUAUUAUUAUUUUUUUGCCACAUAAGUAAUAUAUUUGAUUUUUGAAUUUCUUUUUCAGAGCCAUGCACGUAGAUAAAAAAUUAAUGUAUGAUUAAAUUUUUUUGACAUAAUAACUUAAUUUCAAAAUAAUAAUUAAUUUACUGAGAUAAUUUGAAAAUUUAAAAUUUAAAUAGUGUAAUCAGUAAAAAUGUAUCAACUACAUUAGAUAAUUCAUUAGUUUUGCUAUUGUUUUUAAUAUACAUGUGCAUGAUAGUUGUUAAAAUCGUGGCUAAAAAUAAUAUUUUUGUCAUUAAAUAUAUAUAUCAAGGGAAUUUGGUUUAAAAUGUAAUGAUUCGUGAAUGUUAUUUGAUCAGCGGUUUUGGUAAUGAGAAAUUUGACAUAUAUAUAUAUAUAUAUAUAUAUAUAUAUAUAUAUAUAUAUAUAUAUAUAUAUAUAUAUAUAUAUAUAUAUAUAUANNNNNNNNNNNNNNNNNNNNNNNNNNNNNNNNNNNNNNNNNNNNNNNNNNNNNNNNNNNNNNNNNNNNNNNNNNNNNNNNNNNNNNNNNNNNNNNNNNNNUAUUUUAUACGCACAUACUUAAUUGUUUUCAAAAGAGUUGUUAUGUGUUGUGAAAGUUUUUUAUCAUUAAUACAAUGAAAUUGAGUGAGAUUAUAAGGUUAUAAAUAUUAUUAAUUAUAAUUAACGAAUAAAAUAUCAUUACCCCUUAAAUCUAAGCACGGAAUAGAAGUUAGAAAUAUAUAGGGCGGGGUUGCUCACAUCUUAAUUUUGGAGAAUUCUUUUUGGUUGUUCUGAAAAUAUUAUUAUUUUUUAAUAAAAUUAAGAUAAAAAUGUUAAUAUAUUGAAAUUUCCACCAUGAUUUUGGUUUGUUUGUUUUUUGCACCACAUCAGAUCGAGUUUGAUCAUCUUAUUUAUAAUUAAUUAGUUGAGGCUUAAAGUAAUUAUUGACAAAUCUUUGUCUACCUUGAAAACUUUUUUCUGCAGCCAUGCACCACCACUAAAUGAAUAUCAUCUUUUUAAAAUAUUUUAUUUCCUUGUGAUAAUAAUUUUAAUGUGUUCAUCAUCAUUUCUUAUACUAUAAAAUGUAUUUUCUAGAUCAUGGUCUAAAAUUAAAUAGCAAGUCAAGUGGUACAUUAACAUUGGAGAGAAUAAAUAAUAAAAUUGUCUACCAAGGAAUUAAGUUGUGGUGUCAAUAUAUAUAUAUAUAUAUAUAUAUAUAUAUAUAUAUAUAUAUAUAUAUAUAUAUAUAUUUUGCUGGUGCCCUGCUAAAUAAUUAAGCAAAUGAAUGGCUGCUAAAUAGAUGUGUUACCUGUUUCUGGAUCUCUUACAACCAAUAAUUAAAAGAAUCGAUCACACCUCUUGCCAACUACUUAAUAAUUAAGUUGUUAAUAUACCAUAAUAUUUGCUUACAAUAAUUAAUAAUUCUUCACCUAACAUAUAUAAAGUA
This 32724-nucleotide long non-coding RNA is filed under the name Panax ginseng (ginseng). Its description in RNAcentral is "long non-coding RNA (PGIN_LNC013267)". The record is from RNAcentral. Lineage: Eukaryota; Viridiplantae; Streptophyta; Magnoliopsida; Apiales; Araliaceae.